This 476-nucleotide ribosomal RNA is filed under the name uncultured bacterium. RNAcentral describes it as "partial 16S ribosomal RNA". It matches the Rfam family "Bacterial small subunit ribosomal RNA", at positions 28 to 507 of the family's 1533-position model. The record is from RNAcentral.
GACGAACGCUGGCGGCGUGCCUAACACAUGCAAGUCGAGCGCUAAGGCCCGGUACUUGUGCCAACCGGAUGUGCAGCGAACGGGUGAGUAACGCGUGGGGCAUCCGCCUUUCUGUGGGGUACAACAUGGGGAAACGAAUGCUAAUACGGCAUAAGAACUUUAAACACAGGUGGGAAGUUUGAAAGAUGCAAUUACGGCACUUAAGGAUGGUCUCGCGGUGUAUUAGCUUGUUGGUGGGGUAACGGCUCACCAAGGCGAUGAUGGGUAGCCGGCCUGAGAGGGUGACCGGCCACAUAGGGCCUGAGAUACGGGCCAGAGUGCUACGGGAGGCAGCAGUGGAGAAUAUUGCACAAUGGGCGGAAGCCUGAUGCAACAAUGUCGCGUGCGGAAUGACUGUCUGCGGGUUGUAAACCUCGUUCGCCUGUGAAGCAGCGUGAGUGACGGUAAUGGGUCAAGAAGCACCGGCUAACUACGUG